GAGUGGCAGAGUGGUUAGAGCGUCCGCCUCUGAUACGGAUAGUCGUGGGUUCGAUCCCCGGCUGAGGCA
This is a non-coding RNA of Potamilus streckersoni, 69 nucleotides long. The record is from the annotation of a GenBank genome assembly. NCBI's taxonomy places the organism in Eukaryota, Metazoa, Mollusca, Bivalvia, Unionida, Unionidae.